AAGACACAAGAAGCUGACAGAGAUCAAACCCUGAGAAAGCUAGUAUUCCAUAAAAGGGUAGGGAGUAUUUUCAGCCUCUUUAACUCUUGUGGCAGACUGCUGGUUAUCAUAAUUCAAGAAGAGAUUCUUUGCCCUCAUAAGCCCAAGUACUGGAGUGGGCUGCAAUUUGGGGACUUCUUCAGAGCAUUACACUGGGCUACCAGCUCAUGCUGGGAUCCUUCCUUUUCCCCCUGGACCUGGGCUGUAGUAGCGGGCACAAUACUGGGUGUGCACUCAUUGUGGGACUUCGCUUUGCUCGGAGACCUUCAAACCUUGUCUCUUCACAUCACCAUAUCCUUUGCAACCAUUCCCCAGCACAGCCUGGACUGUGACAGCCCCACAGGGUGGCUGGACCCAGAGGAGCAGUGGGCUUCACAAUAAAUCAAGACUUCCCACUAUCCAACUGUAAAGUUCCCAAUCAUCAACAACUUCAUGCCCACCCUCCACCACAAAGGGAAAGGAAACUGCCCUUAGCAUCCCUGAAGGGAUUUUGCCUUGCUUGUGUCUCAAAACUCUUCUGUGCUCUGUGACCCAGGAUGUCAGCGUAUCAUCAAACAACACUCUGAUUUUUUUUUUUUUUUUACCUUAUCUCCUGUUCUUAGACCUUGGCCUCUCUUCCUCAGUGUACUGAAUCAGCUUUUGCUAUAAUUUUGGUGACUCAUAUUGGCCCUGAUCAUUAUUGGAAUCCCGUAAGUUUCAUAUUCUGCUCCAAGAAACAUUUGGAUAAAUUGAGAAAAACUAAUAGCCUUUCAUGGUAAUAACAGUCUACUCCCUUCAUGAUGUCAACAAAUGCUAUCAGAGUCCACACAAGACCUCCCAAACAUUUCUGAUGAUCAGAGACAAGAUACCGUCUUAUAUACCAAAAACCUCAGAUGGAAAAGCUCCUGCCAUCCUGGGCAGCACAUGGUAGAGGGGAGGCAGCCACUGACCUUCUGGGUAAUCUGUCAUGACGACCUGAUAGCAGACCGGCAGGAUGCUCCAAACUGUCACCAAAGAUGUCACGAGUGCUUCUGAGGCUCAAGAAUCUAAUUUUCCUUACUUAAAAUAAAAGGACUGAAUGCUGGAUGAAUAACCCUUUUUUUCACCCCCUAAACAAAUCUCAUAGGGAAUCCUAAUAUAUAAAAUAACCAAAGUGCAAGCCCUGGGUUAAAGCCGAGGAUGGGUGCUAGAGAUGGGCUAGAGCAUGUCUGCUUAGCUUUCUUCCACUAUCCCAGCCAUUUAAAGACCACAAGUUAGCUUCCUGGAAUUCAGUUUGACAAACACUUAGGCUAGAUCAUUGUCAGGGGACCUUCAUUUCAAGCUCCAUGGAGUAGGUCGGGGACUCUGCCUUGGUCAUCCCUGAAUCCCCACAGCCAUGGUUCUAGCACACAGUAAGCACUAAAAACCAAAACCCAAA
Molecule: long non-coding RNA, 1435 nt
Filed under: Homo sapiens (human)
Lineage: Eukaryota; Metazoa; Chordata; Mammalia; Primates; Hominidae
Description: HSALNT0303224
Source: RNAcentral